ACUUUUUGUUAAUGAAUAAAAUUCUAUUAUUUGGAAAAUAAUUCAUCUUUAUCAGAUCACAACAUAUGCUGAAGAGUGUCUAGCAGUUCUGAAAGCACCCAUUUGUUUCCUGUACAGUGUAACCUACAGUUAGAUCAGUGACCUACACUGUAAUGAUCAUAAAUGUACAGCAAGCAGCACAAAAUUAACAGUUGCACUGGCAGUGUGAUAUUCAUAGAUGUACACCAACCACCACACAAUUCCUAACAGACCCCAAACAGCAGGGCCAGAGAGAGCACAGUCCCCCACAACACAUUCCUGUAACUUACUGUAGAUGUGCCCUAUCAAAGCCUCCCUGAGCCAUACAGCUUCACAUUGAGCAAUUUUAACAGCCUUUGUGUCUGGCUGUUCAAACUCAGCAGACAGCCACUCCACCCCACACCACUCGCAAACUUGCCCUCUUUGCUUCACAGAUAUUAUGCAGGUCACAGCAGAUGCUUGUAACCGCUGGGAUGGUUUUUUCCACUGAGAUCCAAUCUUGUACGUGAGCAAUACCAGCAUCCCUUCAAUCUACCAAAAGCACAUUCAACUGUCUUUCUGCCUCUUACUGAGCGGAUACUUGCAUCUCUCUUUGCUGCUGCUGAUGUGACCGGUGUACAGCUUCGUAAGCCAGAGGAGUAAUAUGUAGGCUGGAUCCCAGGAUCACUACUGGCAUUUUAACAUCACCAAUGGUAAUCCACCGGUCAGGAAAGAAAGUGCCUGCUCAUGGCUUUCUGAACAGUCCUGUGUUCUUAAAGAUGUGAGUGUCAUGCACCUUCCGUGACCAGGCAACUGAUGUUGGUGAAGCAUCCCUGGUGAUCCACCAAUGCUUGCAUAACCUCUGAAAAGCAGCCCUUUCUGUGGCAAGGUGCUCUAGUGCCAAAAUAGGGAGAUGCAUUCUGUCUAUUGCUCCACUGCAGUUCAGGAAUCCCACUGACGCAAAUCCAUCCACUAUGCCCUGCAUGUUGCUGAGAGUCACAGUCCUACAUCACAGAUGAUC
This is a long non-coding RNA of Gopherus evgoodei (Goodes thornscrub tortoise), 1018 nucleotides long. RefSeq lists it as uncharacterized. Lineage: Eukaryota; Metazoa; Chordata; Testudines; Testudinidae. The transcript is spliced from 3 exons. The record is from RefSeq and is a predicted model, not a curated record.